Amphimedon queenslandica is the source of this 518-nucleotide long non-coding RNA. RefSeq lists it as uncharacterized. The transcript has 6 exons. NCBI's taxonomy places the organism in Eukaryota, Metazoa, Porifera, Demospongiae, Haplosclerida, Niphatidae. The record is from RefSeq and is a predicted model, not a curated record.
UAUCAACACGCUCAAUGCAACCAGAGACCUACUAUAAGAAAGCGAGUAAAAUGAGAGAUUUGUCCUUGAGUGAUGUGCAUGUAAUACCAGUUGAUGAUAUCAUGAGUAGAGAUCAAGGCAGAGAUAUGUUGGCACUAAUUGUUGCCCAGUCAAGGGAUUCUAGUGGUAGCCCUGUCAGGGAUUAAGUUACCUUCUCUCAGUAUUGGCUUACAAAGAAUCAGCAGCUUAGCAUUAAGGCUAAAUGCAUCAGUUCAUUUACCAAGGAUAGGUCACUCUACUCCUCAUUUCAAUUGGUAUGGUACUGAGAGACUAAUCAGAAAACAUCUCUCAAGCAAAGGAAUACCAACCUUUAUUUAUUAUUUUCCACGUUAUGGACAACACAAAACUAUACCAAGUGUCAGCCCUGAACUUCAUACUAAAGUAGUGGAUCCAUUACCUGAAAUAUUUACCGAUGUCAGUGUCUGUUUCUAUGGAAUUGAUGAGAGCACCAAACUCUCUCUAACCCGUUAUAUAAUAGC